RNA transcript from Bombus pyrosoma, 1623 nucleotides. It is a transcript of the gene named protein RER1, with no coding region annotated. The transcript is spliced from 8 exons. The record is from RefSeq and is a predicted model, not a curated record. Lineage: Eukaryota; Metazoa; Arthropoda; Insecta; Hymenoptera; Apidae.
UAUAAUACUACCAGGAGAUAAGUUGAAACACCCUGCAAAUUUUGUAGUACGUCUAAUCAUAGUAUGCCAUUAAUGUUUUGACGUGUUAUUUUUUUAACCGAAUAAACAGCGAAUUAGUCGCGAAAAUUGGCUGAAAACAUAUAAAUACUUUAGGUAAAAUGAUGCAAGAUGAGCAUCUGGGUGGUCCUCCAAGACGAAAUGUUUUUAGUCAAGCAAUAGGAAGAAUAUCACAGUUAUAUCAAAGAUAUUUGGAUCUUUGGACACCUCACGUAGUGUCAAGAUGGACAGUGGCUUUUUUUCUAGUAUUUGUUUUUUCUUUACGUAUACUUUUAUCAGAGGGAUGGUACAUUGUUACAUAUGCACUAGCAAUUUAUCAUCUAAAUUUAUUCAUAGCAUUCCUUACUCCUAAAAUUGAUCCUGGAAUGGAUUUUGAUGAUGGUGAAGGACCAGAAUUACCUACAAGAUCUAACGAAGAGUUUAGACCAUUUAUUAGAAGGUUACCUGAAUUUAAAUUCUGGUAUUCUGUGAUGAAAUCUACAAUUAUUGCUAUGAUAUGUACUAUGUUUGAUUGUUUCAAUGUACCAGUAUUUUGGCCCAUACUUGUCAUGUACUUCAUAACGCUAUUUUGCAUUACUAUGAAGCGUCAAAUAAAGCAUAUGAUCAAAUACAGAUAUUUGCCGUUCACUUAUGGAAAACCAAGUUACCAGAAUCACGAGGAUACUUCGAGGUUAAUACCUUCAAAGUGAAUUGGUGUGAAGUAUGUUUGUUGAUGGAGGUGCAUAAGUGUGUAGAUUUCUAUUUUCCCAGUACCAUGUGAAAAAAAUUUUUGGAUUUGAAAGCAGUCAGAUUCUUUUAUCAAUGACAUUACAUAUAAAUAAAAUCAUUGCCUUCUACAAGAAAAGGUUUAAUCCAUAAAAGGUGUAACACUAAAAGUAUAAUGUUAUAUGCUAUAUAAACUGAAUUGUCGUAAUAUAUUUGUAUCAUAAAACUUGUACAAAGUAUUGUUAGGUCUUACAUAAAGUGGUCACAAUAACAAUGUGAACAUUACAGCAGUUGUUAAUGUAAUAUUAAAUUAACAUUGGAUGUGAAGGAAAACAAAGAUAAUUCAUACAUAUAUUAGAUACAAGCACACGCAUCACGUACGAUAUUGUAUAACACGUAUAUAAAUCUUGAUACAUGUAAAAUACGAUAGUCGGUCAUCUGAUAUCACUAAAUAACGUGAAAUGGAAAAGUUUGCGAUAUGUACACGGACUUGGGAAUAUAGCGAUGCCCAACGUUUUACGGAAGCGAUUGUUAAUAAGAGUCCACUUGUGGAAGUUUGAUGAUGGGUGUCGUAGAAUUUAAACAGGGAAAUUGAUUUCCCUCUGAUUCGAACGCGUUCGUGUUUCUCUUGAGCUGAACAGACGUGAAAUGAAGUAAUGAGAUUAAAAAAAUAAUAAAAAGAAAAGCGAAAAGGAGAAUAAAAAAGAACAGAAGAGAAAAUGGAGCGAAGCGAAUGUGGAGGAGGCGAAAAUGGCGAAGCACGAAUGGAACGUGUGAAUGGGCAAGAAUGUGAGGCUACACUUUUCCUAACGAAAAUGGUAAUUCAAAAUAAAAGCAUCGAUGCAUUGUUGUAUAUCCUCA